This 850-nucleotide long non-coding RNA is filed under the name Brassica napus (rape). Its description in RNAcentral is "long non-coding RNA (BNAP_LNC013781)". Lineage: Eukaryota; Viridiplantae; Streptophyta; Magnoliopsida; Brassicales; Brassicaceae. The record is from RNAcentral.
AAAAAUGGUGAAAGGUUUUCAUAAGGUUGAUGUUCAUGAUGGCCUAUUUGCAUCGUUCUGGUUUGAUAAAUGGCUGAGUCUUGGAAGAAUUCAUAACAUCAGCCGUAGAAGAGGAUAUAUUGAUUUCUGGAAUCCCAUCAAACGCAAUGGUGGCAGUGGUUGUGAACUCCCGAAAUAUGUCACAUAAUGGAUACUCUGAAUGAAAUUAAAGAAGAGCUGAUUAAGAUACUUAGAUACUCGAAGGGAAAAAGCGAUGUUCAUUUGUGGCACAACGCAGAGGCGAUAAGAAUGAUUUGUAUAAAGGCAUUUGGUUUCGACAUGGAACAGUACUAAAUACUCAUUAUGCACAUGACUUUCUUUUUGAAUCAAUUAGCAACUAAAGAUCGUACGGUGACCUUGAACAUGGGCCAACAAAAAGGAUGUGUGUUAUGCCUCCAACCAUAAACACGUGACAACCGUUUUUCAUUUGCAUGUUCUCAUCAAAAGUCUGGUGCGGCCUUAAUGGGAAAUCUUUGGAAACUCAAUUCACUACAAAAUGGGAUCAAUUAAGCUUAUUUCACAUCUCAAAUCUGAACUGGAUCGACACAGUCCUCAUUUCAUAUGUAUUACAAUCAAUUGUCUAAACUUAUAGUAUGGAAUAAGUAGUCGAAAACAUGGAGAAAAAGCAAUGCAAUUUGUUAGUCUAAUGAUAUGAUCAAGUUAUAUCCCUACAAGCUACUCUGCAAAUUCAGAAGUACAGUGCAAUAUUAAAAAAUCGAAUCCACAUCGACUCUGAAUCACUCAAUAGACUUCAGUCAUCGUAUUAAGCUAAACACAAUAGAAUGUAAUGCAAGUAAAGAGAAUGAAAAGC